Molecule: ribosomal RNA, 2901 nt
Filed under: Escherichia coli
Lineage: Bacteria; Pseudomonadati; Pseudomonadota; Gammaproteobacteria; Enterobacterales; Enterobacteriaceae
Description: bacterial LSU rRNA
Rfam family: Bacterial large subunit ribosomal RNA
Source: RNAcentral
UUAAGCGACUAAGCGUACACGGUGGAUGCCCUGGCAGUCAGAGGCGAUGAAGGACGUGCUAAUCUGCGAUAAGCGUCGGUGAGGUGAUAUGAACCGUUAUAACCGGCGAUUUCCGAAUGGGGAAACCCAGUGUGUUUCGACACACUAUCAUUAACUGAAUCCAUAAGUUAAUGAGGCGAACCGGGGGAACUGAAACAUCUAAGUACCCCGAGGAAAAGAAAUCAACCGAGAUUCCCCCAGUAGCGGCGAGCGAACGGGGAGGAGCCCAGAGCCUGAAUCAGUGUGUGUGUUAGUGGAAGCGUCUGGAAAGGCGCGCGAUACAGGGUGACAGCCCCGUACACAAAAAUGCACAUGCUGUGAGCUCGAUGAGUAGGGCGGGACACGUGGUAUCCUGUCUGAAUAUGGGGGGACCAUCCUCCAAGGCUAAAUACUCCUGACUGACCGAUAGUGAACCAGUACCGUGAGGGAAAGGCGAAAAGAACCCCGGCGAGGGGAGUGAAAAAGAACCUGAAACCGUGUACGUACAAGCAGUGGGAGCCUCUUAAUGGGGUGACUGCGUACCUUUUGUAUAAUGGGUCAGCGACUUAUAUUCUGUAGCAAGGUUAACCGAAUAGGGGAGCCGAAGGGAAACCGAGUCUUAACUGGGCGUUAAGUUGCAGGGUAUAGACCCGAAACCCGGUGAUCUAGCCAUGGGCAGGUUGAAGGUUGGGUAACACUAACUGGAGGACCGAACCGACUAAUGUUGAAAAAUUAGCGGAUGACUUGUGGCUGGGGGUGAAAGGCCAAUCAAACCGGGAGAUAGCUGGUUCUCCCCGAAAGCUAUUUAGGUAGCGCCUCGUGAAUUCAUCUCCGGGGGUAGAGCACUGUUUCGGCAAGGGGGUCAUCCCGACUUACCAACCCGAUGCAAACUGCGAAUACCGGAGAAUGUUAUCACGGGAGACACACGGCGGGUGCUAACGUCCGUCGUGAAGAGGGAAACAACCCAGACCGCCAGCUAAGGUCCCAAAGUCAUGGUUAAGUGGGAAACGAUGUGGGAAGGCCCAGACAGCCAGGAUGUUGGCUUAGAAGCAGCCAUCAUUUAAAGAAAGCGUAAUAGCUCACUGGUCGAGUCGGCCUGCGCGGAAGAUGUAACGGGGCUAAACCAUGCACCGAAGCUGCGGCAGCGACACUAUGUGUUGUUGGGUAGGGGAGCGUUCUGUAAGCCUGUGAAGGUGGCCUGUGAGGGUUGCUGGAGGUAUCAGAAGUGCGAAUGCUGACAUAAGUAACGAUAAAGCGGGUGAAAAGCCCGCUCGCCGGAAGACCAAGGGUUCCUGUCCAACGUUAAUCGGGGCAGGGUGAGUCGACCCCUAAGGCGAGGCCGAAAGGCGUAGUCGAUGGGAAACAGGUUAAUAUUCCUGUACUUGGUGUUACUGCGAAGGGGGACGGAGAAGGCUAUGUUGGCCGGGCGACGGUUGUCCCGGUUUAAGCGUGUAGGCUGGUUUUCCAGGCAAAUCCGGAAAACCAAGGCUGAGGCGUGAUGACGAGGCACUACGGUGCUGAAGCGACAAAUGCCCUGCUUCCAGGAAAAGCCUCUAAGCAUCAGGUAACAUCAAAUCGUACCCCAAACCGACACAGGUGGUCAGGUAGAGAAUACCAAGGCGCUUGAGAGAACUCGGGUGAAGGAACUAGGCAAAAUGGUGCCGUAACUUCGGGAGAAGGCACGCUGAUAUGUAGGUGAAGCGACUUGCUCGUGGAGCUGAAAUCAGUCGAAGAUACCAGCUGGCUGCAACUGUUUAUUAAAAACACAGCACUGUGCAAACACGAAAGUGGACGUAUACGGUGUGACGCCUGCCCGGUGCCGGAAGGUUAAUUGAUGGGGUUAGCGGCAACGCGAAGCUCUUGAUCGAAGCCCCGGUAAACGGCGGCCGUAACUAUAACGGUCCUAAGGUAGCGAAAUUCCUUGUCGGGUAAGUUCCGACCUGCACGAAUGGCGUAAUGAUGGCCAGGCUGUCUCCACCCGAGACUCAGUGAAAUUGAACUCGCUGUGAAGAUGCAGUGUACCCGCGGCAAGACGGAAAGACCCCGUGAACCUUUACUAUAGCUUGACACUGAACAUUGAGCCUUGAUGUGUAGGAUAGGUGGGAGGCUUUGAAGUGUGGACGCCAGUCUGCAUGGAGCCGACCUUGAAAUACCACCCUUUAAUGUUUGAUGUUCUAACGUUGGCCCGUAAUCCGGGUUGCGGACAGUGUCUGGUGGGUAGUUUGACUGGGGCGGUCUCCUCCUAAAGAGUAACGGAGGAGCACGAAGGUUGGCUAAUCCUGGUCGGACAUCAGGAGGUUAGUGCAAUGGCAUAAGCCAGCUUGACUGCGAGCGUGACGGCGCGAGCAGGUGCGAAAGCAGGUCAUAGUGAUCCGGUGGUUCUGAAUGGAAGGGCCAUCGCUCAACGGAUAAAAGGUACUCCGGGGAUAACAGGCUGAUACCGCCCAAGAGUUCAUAUCGACGGCGGUGUUUGGCACCUCGAUGUCGGCUCAUCACAUCCUGGGGCUGAAGUAGGUCCCAAGGGUAUGGCUGUUCGCCAUUUAAAGUGGUACGCGAGCUGGGUUUAGAACGUCGUGAGACAGUUCGGUCCCUAUCUGCCGUGGGCGAUGGAGAACUGAGGGGGGCUGCUCCUAGUACGAGAGGACCGGAGUGGACGCAUCACUGGUGUUCGGGUUGUCAUGCCAAUGGCACUGCCCGGUAGCUAAAUGCGGAAGAGAUAAGUGCUGAAAGCAUCUAAGCACGAAACUUGCCCCGAGAUGAGUUCUCCCUGAGACUUAGAGUCUCCUGAAGGAACGUUGAAGACGACGACGUUGAUAGGCCGGGUGUGUAAGCGCAGCGAUGCGUUGAGCUAACCGGUACUAAUGAACCGUGAGGCUUAACCUU